This 254-nucleotide ribosomal RNA is filed under the name uncultured bacterium. RNAcentral's name for it is "partial 16S ribosomal RNA". It matches the Rfam family "Bacterial small subunit ribosomal RNA", at positions 524 to 776 of the family's 1533-position model. The record is from RNAcentral.
UACGUAGGGGGCGAGCGUUGUUCGGAUUUACUGGGCGUAAAGGGCGCGUAGGCGGUCAGCACAAGUCAGUUGUGAAAUCUCCGGGCUUAACUCGGAAAGGUCAACUGAUACUGUGCGACUAGAGUGCAGAAGGGGCAACUGGAAUUCUCGGUGUAGCGGUGAAAUGCGUAGAUAUCGAGAGGAACACCUGCGGCGAAGGCGGGUUGCUGGGCUGACACUGACGCUGAGGCGCGAAAGCCAGGGGAGCGAACGGG